Molecule: ribosomal RNA, 910 nt
Filed under: uncultured bacterium
Lineage: Bacteria
Description: bacterial SSU rRNA
Rfam family: Bacterial small subunit ribosomal RNA
Source: RNAcentral
ACGCUGGCGGCGUGCCUAAUACAUGCAAGUCGAACGAGAGCGACCGGUGCUUGCACUGGUCAAUCUAGUGGCGAACGGGUGAGUAACACGUGGGUAACCUGCCCAUCAGAGGGGGAUAACAUUCGGAAACGGAUGCUAAAACCGCAUAGGUCUUCGAACCGCAUGGUUUGAAGAGGAAAAGAGGCGCAAGCUUCUGCUGAUGGAUGGACCCGCGGUGCAUUAGCUAGUUGGUGAGGUAACGGCUCACCAAGGCCGUGAUGCAUAGCCGACCUGAGAGGGUGAUCGGCCACAUUGGGACUGAGACACGGCCCAAACUCCUACGGGAGGCAGCAGUAGGGAAUCUUCCGCAAUGGACGCAAGUCUGACGGAGCAACGCCGCGUGAGUGAAGAAGGUUUUCGGAUCGUAAAACUCUGUUGUUAGAGAAGAACAAGUGCUAGAGUAACUGUUAGCGCCUUGACGGUAUCUAACCAGAAAGCCACGGCUAACUACGUGCCAGCAGCCGCGGUAAUACGUAGGUGGCAAGCGUUGUCCGGAUUUAUUGGGCGUAAAGCGAGCGCAGGCGGUUCCUUAAGUCUGAUGUGAAAGCCCCCGGCUCAACCGGGGAGGGUCAUUGGAAACUGGGGAGCUUGAGUGCAGAAGAGGAGAGUGGAAUUCCAUGUGUAGCGGUGAAAUGCGUAGAUAUAUGGAGGAACACCAGUGGCGAAGGCGACUCUCUGGUCUGUAACUGACGCUGAGGCUCGAAAGCAUGGGUAGCAAACAGGAUUAGAUACCCUGGUAGUCCACGCCGUAAACGAUGAGUGCUAAGUGUUGGAGGGUUUCCGCCCUUCAGUGCUGCAGUUAACGCAUUAAGCACUCCGCCUGGGGAGUACGACCGCAAGGUUGAAACUCAAAGGAAUUGACGGGGACCCG